GAUGAACGCUGGCGGCGUGCCUAAUACAUGCAAGUCGAGCGAACGGACGAGAAGCUUGCUUCUCUGAUGUUAGCGGCGGACGGGUGAGUACCACGUGGAUAACCUCCCUAUCAGACUGGGAUAACUUCGGGACACCGGAGCUAAUACCGGAUAAUAUUAUGAACCGCAUGGUUCAAAAGUGAAAGACGGUCUUGCUGUUACUUCUAGAUGUAUCCGCGCUGCUUUAGCUAGUUGGUAAGGUAACGGUUUACCAAGGCAACGGUGCAUAGCUGACCUGAGAGGGGGAUCGGCCACGCUGGAACUGAAACACGGUCCAGACUCCUACGGGGGGCAGCAGUAGGGAAUCUUCCGCAAUAGGCGAAAGCCUGACGGAGCAACGCCGCGUGAGUUAUGAAGGUCUUCGGGUCGUAAAACUCUGUUAUUAGGGAAGAACAUAUGUGUAAGUAACUGUGCACAUCUUGACGGUACCUAAUCAGAAAGCCACGGCUAACUACGUG
Molecule: ribosomal RNA, 497 nt
Filed under: uncultured bacterium
Lineage: Bacteria
Description: partial 16S ribosomal RNA
Rfam family: Bacterial small subunit ribosomal RNA
Source: RNAcentral